This is a non-coding RNA of Cinara cedri, 278 nucleotides long. NCBI's taxonomy places the organism in Eukaryota, Metazoa, Arthropoda, Insecta, Hemiptera, Aphididae. The record is from the annotation of a GenBank genome assembly.
CGUGAUGACUCAGAAGCUUUAUAACCUAUUCUGCACAUGACCUUUUAAGAAAAAAGAUCUUUAUAUUUGUUAUUGAACUUAGCGAGAUUGCUAUCAACAUUUAUUGACCCGCUUGUUAAGUUUCCAGUCCAUGCGGGAUGAGUAUUAGGGUCUCUAUCAAGUUUUAUCUUAUCACCUUCUUUUCCAUAAGUAGAGCGAGUUUCAAACUCUUCACCAUUUGUCAUAGUUAUAAUAAUUUUAUGAUAAUCAAUACUUUCCAUUAUUGCUCAUUAAUCUUU